UAGUAUUCAAUUGUCAGAGGUGAAAUUCUUGGAUUUAUUGAAGACUAACUUCUGAGAAAGCAUUUGCCAAGGAUGUUUUCAUUAAUCAAGAACGAAAGUUAGGGGAUCGAAGACGAUCAGAUACCGUCGUAGUCUUAACCAUAAACUAUGCCGACUAGGGAUCGGACGAUGUUAACUUUUCUUGACUCG
Molecule: ribosomal RNA, 189 nt
Filed under: uncultured Glomeromycotina
Lineage: Eukaryota; Fungi; Glomeromycota
Description: partial 18S ribosomal RNA
Rfam family: Eukaryotic small subunit ribosomal RNA
Source: RNAcentral